GACGAUGUCCCGCAACUGCUGAGGCUG
Molecule: small RNA, 27 nt
Filed under: Bombyx mori (domestic silkworm)
Lineage: Eukaryota; Metazoa; Arthropoda; Insecta; Lepidoptera; Bombycidae
Description: ovarian small RNA-5086
Source: RNAcentral